GUGCAGCAGUCGCGAAAACUUCACACUGUGCGAAAGCACGAUGAGGGAAUCCCAAGUGCUUGCACGUAAGUGUAAGCUGUUUCUCUGUUUAAAACGCAGGGAGAGUAAGGGCUGGGUAAGACGGGUGCCAGCCGCCGCGGUAAUACCUGCAGCCCAAGUGGUGACCGUUAUUAUUGGGCCUAAAAACGUCCGUAGCCGGUUUAAUAAAUGCCUGGGUAAAUCGUGUAGCUUAACUAUACGAAUUCCGGGUAGACUGUUAAACUCGAGACCGGGAGAAGUUAGAGGUACUCCUGGGGUAGAGGUGAAAUUCUGUAAUCCUAGGGGGACCACCAGUGGCGAAGGCGUCUAACUAGAACGGGUCUGACGGUGAGGGACGAAGCCCUGGGGCGCAAACGGGAUUAGAUACCCGUGUAGU
This 415-nucleotide ribosomal RNA is filed under the name uncultured microorganism. RNAcentral describes it as "bacterial SSU rRNA". It matches the Rfam family "Archaeal small subunit ribosomal RNA", at positions 330 to 745 of the family's 1478-position model. The record is from RNAcentral.